GGUUAAGCGACUAAGCGUACACGGUGGAUGCCCCUGGCAGUCAGAGGCGAUGAAGGACGUGCUAAUCUGCGAUAAGCGUCGGUAAGGUGAUAUGAACCGUUAUAACCGGCGAUUUCCGAAUGGGGAAACCCAGUGUGUUUCGACACACUAUCAUUAACUGAAUCCAUAGGUUAAUGAGGCGAACCGGGGGAACUGAAACAUCUAAGUACCCCGAGGAAAAGAAAUCAACCGAGAUUCCCCCAGUAGCGGCGAGCGAACGGGGAGGAGCCCAGAGCCUGAAUCAGUGUGUGUGUUAGUGGAAGCGUCUGGAAAGGCGCGCGAUACAGGGUGACAGCCCCGUACACAAAAAUGCACAUGCUGUGAGCUCGAUGAGUAGGGCGGGACACGUGGUAUCCUGUCUGAAUAUGGGGGACCAUCCUCCAAGGCUAAAUACUCCUGACUGACCGAUAGUGAACCAGUACCGUGAGGGAAAGGCGAAAAGAACCCCGGCGAGGGGGAGUGAAAAAGAACCUGAAACCGUGUACGUACAAGCAGUGGGAGCCUCUUUUAUGGGGUGACUGCGUACCUUUUGUAUAAUGGGUCAGCGACUUAUAUUCUGUAGCAAGGUUAACCGAAUAGGGGAGCCGAAGGGAAACCGAGUCUUAACCGGGCGUUAAGUUGCAGGGUAUAGACCCGAAACCCGGUGAUCUAGCCAUGGGCAGGUUGAAGGUUGGGUAACACUAACUGGAGGACCGAACCGACUAAUGUUGAAAAAUUAGCGGAUGACUUGUGGCUGGGGGUGAAAGGCCAAUCAAACCGGGAGAUAGCUGGUUCUCCCCGAAAGCUAUUUAGGUAGCGCCUCGUGAAUUCAUCUCCGGGGGUAGAGCACUGUUUCGGCAAGGGGGUCAUCCCGACUUACCAACCCGAUGCAAACUGCGAAUACCGGAGAAUGUUAUCACGGGAGACACACGGCGGGUGCUAACGUCCGUCGUGAAGAGGGAAACAACCCAGACCGCCAGCUAAGGUCCCAAAGUCAUGGUUAAGUGGGAAACGAUGUGGGAAGGCCCAGACAGCCAGGAUGUUGGCUUAGAAGCAGCCAUCAUUUAAAGAAAGCGUAAUAGCUCACUGGUCGAGUCGGCCUGCGCGGAAGAUGUAACGGGGCUAAACCAUGCACCGAAGCUGCGGCAGCGACACUGUGUGUUGUUGGGUAGGGGAGCGUUCUGUAAGCCUGUGAAGGUGUACUGUGAGGUAUGCUGGAGGUAUCAGAAGUGCGAAUGCUGACAUAAGUAACGAUAAAGCGGGUGAAAAGCCCGCUCGCCGGAAGACCAAGGGUUCCUGUCCAACGUUAAUCGGGGCAGGGUGAGUCGACCCCUAAGGCGAGGCCGAAAGGCGUAGUCGAUGGGAAACAGGUUAAUAUUCCUGUACUUGGUGUUACUGCGAAGGGGGGACGGAGAAGGCUAUGUUGGCCGGGCGACGGUUGUCCCGGUUUAAGCGUGUAGGCUGGUUUUCCAGGCAAAUCCGGAAAAUCAAGGCUGAGGCGUGAUGACGAGGCACUACGGUGCUGAAGCAACAAAUGCCCUGCUUCCAGGAAAAGCCUCUAAGCAUCAGGUAACAUCAAAUCGUACCCCAAACCGACACAGGUGGUCAGGUAGAGAAUACCAAGGCGCUUGAGAGAACUCGGGUGAAGGAACUAGGCAAAAUGGUGCCGUAACUUCGGGAGAAGGCACGCUGAUAUGUAGGUGAAGUCCCUCGCGGAUGGAGCUGAAAUCAGUCGAAGAUACCAGCUGGCUGCAACUGUUUAUUAAAAACACAGCACUGUGCAAACACGAAAGUGGACGUAUACGGUGUGACGCCUGCCCGGUGCCGGAAGGUUAAUUGAUGGGGUCAGCGCAAGCGAAGCUCUUGAUCGAAGCCCCGGUAAACGGCGGCCGUAACUAUAACGGUCCUAAGGUAGCGAAAUUCCUUGUCGGGUAAGUUCCGACCUGCACGAAUGGCGUAAUGAUGGCCAGGCUGUCUCCACCCGAGACUCAGUGAAAUUGAACUCGCUGUGAAGAUGCAGUGUACCCGCGGCAAGACGGAAAGACCCCGUGAACCUUUACUAUAGCUUGACACUGAACAUUGAGCCUUGAUGUGUAGGAUAGGUGGGAGGCUUUGAAGUGUGGACGCCAGUCUGCAUGGAGCCGACCUUGAAAUACCACCCUUUAAUGUUUGAUGUUCUAACGUGGACCCGUGAUCCGGGUUGCGGACAGUGUCUGGUGGGUAGUUUGAUUGGGGCGGUCUCCUCCUAAAGAGUAACGGAGGAGCACGAAGGUUGGCUAAUCCUCGGUCGGACAUCAGGAGGUUAGUGCAAUGGCAUAAGCCAGCUUGACUGCGAGCGUGACGGCGCGAGCAGGUGCGAAAGCAGGUCAUAGUGAUCCGGUGGUUCUGAAUGGAAGGGCCAUCGCUCAACGGAUAAAAGGUACUCCGGGGAUAACAGGCUGAUACCGCCCAAGAGUUCAUAUCGACGGCGGUGUUUGGCACCUCGAUGUCGGCUCAUCACAUCCUGGGGCUGAAGUAGGUCCCAAGGGUAUGGCUGUUCGCCAUUUAAAGUGGUACGCGAGCUGGGUUUAGAACGUCGUGAGACAGUUCGGUCCCCUAUCUGCCGUGGGCGCUGGAGAACUGAGGGGGCUGCUCCUAGUACGAGAGGACCGGAGUGGACGCAUCACUGGUGUUCGGGUUGUCAUGCCAAUGGCACUGCCCGGUAGCUAAAUGCGGAAGAGAUAAGUGCUGAAAGCAUCUAAGCACGAAACUUGCCCCGAGAUGAGUUCUCCCUGACCCUUUAAGGGUCCUGAAGGAACGUUGAAGACGACGACGUUGAUAGGCCGGGUGUGUAAGCGCAGCGAUGCGUUGAGCUAACCGGUACUAAUGAACCGUGAGGCUUAACCUU
Molecule: ribosomal RNA, 2905 nt
Filed under: Escherichia coli
Lineage: Bacteria; Pseudomonadati; Pseudomonadota; Gammaproteobacteria; Enterobacterales; Enterobacteriaceae
Description: 23S ribosomal RNA
Rfam family: Bacterial large subunit ribosomal RNA
Source: RNAcentral